RNAcentral lists this ribosomal RNA (376 nucleotides) under uncultured bacterium. Its description in RNAcentral is "bacterial SSU rRNA". It matches the Rfam family "Bacterial small subunit ribosomal RNA", at positions 524 to 898 of the family's 1533-position model. The record is from RNAcentral.
UACGUAGGGAGCGAGCGUUGUUCGGAAUUACUGGGCGUAAAGGGAGCGUAGGCGGGUUUGUAAGUUAGGAGUCUAAACCCAGGGCUUAACCCUGGGCCGGCUUUUAAUACUGCAAGUCUUGAGUAUGGGAGAGGAUGAUGGAAUUCCAGGUGUAGCGGUGGAAUGCGUAGAUAUCUGGAAGAACACCAGUAGCGAAGGCGGUCAUCUGGCCCAAUACUGACGCUGAUGCUCGAAAGCUGGGGGAGCAAACAGGAUUAGAUACCCUGGUAGUCCCAGCCGUAAACGAUGAACACUAGUUGCCGGGGGAGUCAAUCCUUUCGGUGACGAAGCUAACGCAUUAAGUGUUCCGCCUGGGGAGUACGCCCGCAAGGGUGAA